CCUACGGGAGGCAGCAGUGAGGAAUAUUGGUCAAUGGGCGCGAGCCUGAACCAGCCAAGUCGCGUGAGGGAAGACGGCCCUACGGGUUGUAAACCUCUUUUGCCGGGGAGCAAAGGGCGCCACGUGUGGCGCCACUGAGAGAACCCGGUGAAAAAGCAUCGGCUAACUCCGUGCCAGCAGCCGCGGUAAUACGGAGGAUGCGCGCGGUGUCCGGAUUUAUUGGGUUUAAGGGGGGCGUAGGCGGAGCGUUAAGUCAGUGGUCAAAUUGAGGGGCUCAACCCCUUCCCGCCAUUGAAACUGGAGGUCUUGAGUGGAAGAGAAGUAUGCGGAAUGCGUGGUGUAGCGGUGAAAUGCAUAGAUAUCACGCAGAACCCCGAUUGCGAAGGCAGCAUGCCGGCUUCCUACUGACGCUGAAGCACGAAAGCGUGGGGAUCGAACAGGAUUAGAUACCCGUGUAGUC
This 460-nucleotide ribosomal RNA is filed under the name uncultured bacterium. RNAcentral's name for it is "partial 16S ribosomal RNA". It matches the Rfam family "Bacterial small subunit ribosomal RNA", at positions 338 to 795 of the family's 1533-position model. The record is from RNAcentral.